AUUAAAUUAACUUCAGAACAAACAAGAGAAAGAAAUGUACCCUUUUUCGCACGCCAGGCAUGUUACUUGGUACAAUCUUUCUUCACAUGAUCAGUCCCAUUACAGAGAAAGCAACCUAAAUCAGUAAUUUCAACCUUAGGUUCCUUAUGUUGCUUAAUCUUGGGCCUUACAGCCGCAACUUCCUUACCUUUCCUCUUCUUAGUUUCCUUAGAAGAGGAUGCCAAAUGAG
Molecule: long non-coding RNA, 229 nt
Filed under: Nicotiana benthamiana
Lineage: Eukaryota; Viridiplantae; Streptophyta; Magnoliopsida; Solanales; Solanaceae
Description: long non-coding RNA (NBEN_LNC000858)
Source: RNAcentral